GAUGAACGCUGGCGGCGUGCCUAAUACAUGCAAGUCGAGCGAACAGACGAGGAGCUUGCUCCUCUGACGUUAGCGGCGGACGGGUGAGUAACACGUGGAUAACCUACCUAUAAGACUGGGAUAACUUCGGGAAACCGGAGCUAAUACCGGAUAAUAUAUUGAACCGCAUGGUUCAAUAGUGAAAGACGGUUUUGCUGUCACUUAUAGAUGGAUCCGCGCCGCAUUAGCUAGUUGGUAAGGUAACGGCUUACCAAGGCGACGAUGCGUAGCCGACCUGAGAGGGUGAUCGGCCACACUGGAACUGAGACACGGUCCAGACUCCUACGGGAGGCAGCAGUAGGGAAUCCUCCGCAAUGGGCGAAAGCCUGACGGAGCAACGCCGCGUGAGUGAUGAAGGUCUUCGGAUCGUAAAACGCUGUAAUUAGGGAAGAACAAAUGUGUAAGUAACUAUGCACGUCUUGACGGUACCUAAGCAGAAAGCCACGGCUAACUACGU
RNAcentral lists this ribosomal RNA (496 nucleotides) under uncultured bacterium. RNAcentral describes it as "partial 16S ribosomal RNA". It matches the Rfam family "Bacterial small subunit ribosomal RNA", at positions 28 to 506 of the family's 1533-position model. The record is from RNAcentral.